AGCUUUCCCAAUCCGUGAUGAGAUUUCGUCCGAUACCAACCCAUUAGGUCUGAUCAAACUUCGAAAUAAGUGAAGUU
Molecule: microRNA precursor, 77 nt
Filed under: Schistosoma curassoni
Lineage: Eukaryota; Metazoa; Platyhelminthes; Trematoda; Strigeidida; Schistosomatidae
Description: mir-3492 microRNA precursor family
Rfam family: mir-3492 microRNA precursor family
Source: Rfam by way of RNAcentral